ACAGGAAUCCCGCAUUAGAAAGUCUGACUCUGGAGACCACAGUCUUGACCGUGACACUAUACUGCCUCUGGGAAGUUCAAAGCCUCGCAGAGAGACCAGAGGAGAGAGAGCAGGGGUCAGGGCAGUGAAGUGCAAGGAGCUGCGGCUCUGGGGCAGAUGCAUGGUGGGCACCUGUUAGUGGGGACCUCAGUGUUGUGGUACCAGUGCACACACACUCCAGGGUGUAUAAGAGAUCCCUUCUUCUGUAUCCUCAUCAGAACUUGAUGCUGUUAGACUUCUCAAUUGUGUGCCAGUGUGAAGAGUCUCUGCAGCUUGAUGGAGAACUUCUUGAGGACAAAGCCCACAUCUUAGUAAUGAUUGCUCCGUCUUGCUCCUACCUAAGGACUACUUGUUCUAUUGAUAUGUAUCAAAAGAAU
This is a long non-coding RNA of Cynocephalus volans (Philippine flying lemur), 416 nucleotides long. RefSeq lists it as uncharacterized. The transcript has 4 exons. The record is from RefSeq and is a predicted model, not a curated record. NCBI's taxonomy places the organism in Eukaryota, Metazoa, Chordata, Mammalia, Dermoptera, Cynocephalidae.